GUCAUUUUGGUGGACAUUGUGAGAUCUGUGGGUCCAGUGGGUGAGGUAUGUGACUAUUAUAUUGCAAAGCCACUAAUAUUCAUUGAUGAAUGAGGAAUGCUCCUGACAUCUACUUCUUACUAUUUUAAGAUACUGCAGACUGUGAGGAUUCCAAGCCAAAGGCAAGCUAUUGGUAUCGAGGUUGAACUAAAUGAAAUAGAAUCCCGGUGUGAAGAAUACCCAUUGACUCGGGCCUUUUGCCAGCUUAUUAGUACCCUGGUGGAGAGCUCAUUUCCUUCUAAUUUGGGUGCUGGACUGCGGCCCCCUGGCUUUGACCCUUAUUUGCAGUUCCUUAGAGACUCUGUGUUUCUACGAUUCCGUACGAGAGCUUACCGGAGAGCAGCUGAAAAGUGGGAAGUUGCUGAGGUGGUUUUGGAGGUGUUUUAUAAAUUGCUCAGAGAUUAUGAGCCUCAGCUUGAAGAUUUUGUAGACCAGUUUGUGGAACUACAAGGAGAAGAAAUCAUAGCCUAUAAGCCACCUGGAUUUAGUCUGAUGUAUCAUCUGCUGAAUGAGUCACCAAUGUUGGAGCUUG
This 571-nucleotide small RNA is filed under the name Pongo abelii (Sumatran orangutan). RNAcentral describes it as "retained intron". Lineage: Eukaryota; Metazoa; Chordata; Mammalia; Primates; Hominidae. The record is from RNAcentral.